This 911-nucleotide ribosomal RNA is filed under the name Candidatus Karelsulcia muelleri. RNAcentral's name for it is "bacterial SSU rRNA". It matches the Rfam family "Bacterial small subunit ribosomal RNA", at positions 173 to 1078 of the family's 1533-position model. The record is from RNAcentral. Lineage: Bacteria; Pseudomonadati; Bacteroidota; Flavobacteriia; Flavobacteriales.
AAUUAACUAUUUAUUAACGACUUGUUAAAGUAUUAACGGCAUGAAAUGGGCAUAUGUCUGAUUAGCUAGUUGGUGUGAUAAAGGCUCACCAAGGCAAUGAUCAGUAGGGGACCUGAGAAGGUGUACCCCCACAUUGGUACUGAGACACGGACCAAACUUUUACGGGAGGCAGCAGUGAGGAAUAUUGGUCAAUGGAGGCAACUCUGAACCAGUUACGCCGCGUGCAGUAAGAAGGCCAGAAAGGUUGUAAACUGCUUUUGUAUAUGAAUAAAAAAUUCUACUUGUAGAAAGAAUUGAAGGUAAUAUACGAAUAAGUAUCGGCUAACUCUGUGCCAGCAGCCGCGGUAAGACAGAGGAUAUAAGCGUUAUCCGGAAUUAUUGGGUUUAAAGGGUGCGUAGGUUGUUUUUUAAGUCAGUAGUGAAAUCUGACAGCUUAACUGUCAAACUGCUACUGAUACUGUAAAACUAGAGUGGGGUAGGAGUAACUGGAAUGUGUGGUGUAGCGGUGAAAUGCAUAGAUAUCACACAGAACACCAAUAGCGAAAGCAGGUUACUAGAUCUCAACUGACACUGAGGCACGAAGGCAUGGGUAGCAAACAGGAUUAGAUACCCUGGUAGUCCACGCAGUAAACUAUGAUCACUAACUGUUGGAUAGAAAAUAGAAAGAAAAUAUUCAGUGGUUAAGCUAAAGUGAUAAGUGAUCCACCUGAGAAGUACGAUCGCAAGAUUGAAACUCAAAGGAAUUGACGGGGGCUUGCACAAUUGGUGGAGCAUGUGGUUUAAUUCGAUGAUACACGAAGAACCUUACCAAGGCUUAAAUGUACUACGAAUAAACUAGAAAUAGUUUAGUCUUGCGACGGACUACAAGGUGCUUCCAUGGUUGUCGUCAGCUCGUGCCCUUGAGGUGUAAA